Molecule: unclassified non-coding RNA, 224 nt
Filed under: Hevea brasiliensis (rubber tree)
Lineage: Eukaryota; Viridiplantae; Streptophyta; Magnoliopsida; Malpighiales; Euphorbiaceae
Source: RNAcentral
GCUUUUCUGCGCCUGCCCCCAAUUGAUUUCAAUUGAGAGAGAGAAAAGGGGAGAAGGAGAGAACCCAGAAAGAAGAUACAAAAAGAGAAUCUAAUAGUUUAAGAAUUGAAAAAUCAGAAACAAGAGAAAAUCAGGAAACAUUAGCUUUACAUAAAUAGCAAAAACUCUCUCCCUCUGUGUAAAACAAAAUCUCCCUCCCUGCCUCUGCCUGGUUAUGUGUUCAG